AGAACGAACGCUGGCGGCAUGCCUAAUACAUGCAAGUCGAACGAACACUUCGGUGUUAGUGGCGCACGGGUGCGUAACGCGUGGGAAUCUGCCCUUGGGUUCGGAAUAACAGUUGGAAACGACUGCUAAUACCGGAUGAUAUCGAAAGAUCAAAGAUUUAUCGCCCAGAGAUGAGCCCGCGUAGGAUUAGCUAGUUGGUGAGGUAAAGGCUCACCAAGGCGACGAUCCUUAGCUGGUCUGAGAGGGUGAUCAGCCACACUGGGACUGAGACACGGCCCAGACUCCUACGGGAGCAGCAGUAGGGAAUAGUGACAAUGGGCGCAAGCCUGAUCCAGCAA
RNAcentral lists this ribosomal RNA (338 nucleotides) under uncultured soil bacterium. RNAcentral describes it as "bacterial SSU rRNA". It matches the Rfam family "Bacterial small subunit ribosomal RNA", at positions 26 to 394 of the family's 1533-position model. The record is from RNAcentral.